CUCACUUGGCAUGGUCAUUAUGAGGAGAGAAGGGGGAGGUUCAAGAGAUGAGAGAGAAGGGGGAGGUUCAAGAGAUGAGAGAGAAGGGGGAGGUUCAAGAGAUGAGAGAGAAGGGGGAGUUUCAAGAGAUGAGAGAGAAGGGGGAGGUUCAAGAGAUGAGAGAGGAGUUUCAUCUCCAUGACACCUCGCAGGUAGUUUCAUCUCCAUGACACCUCGCAGGUAACUGUGAGAAUGUGCACUGAGACUGGCCUAAAGACUUCUCCAAACCCUAAUACACCCUACAAAAAGAACUGAAGGGAGUAGUUGGGUAAGAAGCUAUUAUAGGCAUUCGCACCAGAUGCAUUAUUUGCAUAACCUGAGCAGAAUUUUUUUAUUAUGAUAAAUUUCUGGUUGUUCAAUCAAAGUGACCAGACUCUUUAUCCUCUUACAAUGAUCUUAAAAACAAUAAAAAAGCAUUUCAGAAUUU
Molecule: long non-coding RNA, 466 nt
Filed under: Setaria italica (foxtail millet)
Lineage: Eukaryota; Viridiplantae; Streptophyta; Magnoliopsida; Poales; Poaceae
Description: long non-coding RNA (SITA_LNC000509)
Source: RNAcentral